This is a small nucleolar RNA of Eutrema salsugineum, 107 nucleotides long. It matches the Rfam family "Plant small nucleolar RNA R71". From Rfam's summary of the family: R71 is a member of the C/D box family of snoRNAs containing the C (UGAUGA) and D (CUGA) box motifs. Multiple nearly identical copies of this snoRNA have been identified in Arabidopsis, and it is thought to function as a 2'-O-ribose methylation guide for 18S ribosomal RNA. The record is from Rfam. Lineage: Eukaryota; Viridiplantae; Streptophyta; Magnoliopsida; Brassicales; Brassicaceae.
AAGCCAUGAUGUGGGCAGUCUCGCUGGUAUGAUUUGAAUCUCACCCAAGCAGCUUUGAAUGCCUCAGUAGGUCCUUGAGAGAAUGUCGAGAUUUUGAGUCUCAGCUC